Molecule: ribosomal RNA, 495 nt
Filed under: uncultured bacterium
Lineage: Bacteria
Description: partial 16S ribosomal RNA
Rfam family: Bacterial small subunit ribosomal RNA
Source: RNAcentral
GACGAACGCUGGCGGCGUGCCUAAUACAUGCAAGUAGAACGCUGAAGGAGGAGCUUGCUUCUCUGGAUGAGUUGCGAACGGGUGAGUAACGCGUAGGUAACCUGCCUGGUAGCGGGGGAUAACUAUUGGAAACGAUAGCUAAUACCGCAUAAGAGUAGAUGUUGCAUGACAUUUGCUUAAAAGGUGCAAUUGCAUCACUACCAGAUGGACCUGCGUUGUAUUAGCUAGUUGGUGGGGUAACGGCUUACCAAGGCGACGAUACAUAGCCGACCUGAGAGGGGGAUCGGCCACACUGGGACUGAGACACGGCCCAGACGCCUACGGGAGGCAGCAGUAGGGAAUCUUCGGCAAUGGACGGAAGUCUGACCGAGCAACGCCGCGUGAGUGAAGAAGGGUUUCGGAUCGUAAAGCUCUGUUGUAAGAGAAGAACGAGUGUGAGAGUGGAAAGUUCACACUGUGACGGUAUCUUACCAGAAAGGGACGGCUAACUACGUG